GACGAACGCUGGCGGCGUGCUUAACACAUGCAAGUCGAACGGAAAGGCCCUGCUUUUGUGGGGUGCUCGAGUGGCGAACGGGUGAGUAACACGUGAGUAACCUGCCCUUGACUUUGGGAUAACUUCAGGAAACGGGGGCUAAUACAGGAUAGGAGCUCCUGCUGCAGGGUGGGGGUUGGAAAGUUGCGGCGGUUGGGGAUGGACUAGCGGCUUAUCAGCUUGUUGGUGGGGUAGUGGCUUACCAAGGCUUGGACGGGUAGCCGGCCUGAGAGGGUGACCGGCCACCUUGGGACUGAGAUACGGCCCAGACUGCUACGGGAGGCAGCAGGGGGGAAUAUUGCACAAUGGGCGGAAGCCUGAUGCAGCAACGCCGCGUUCGGGAUGACGGCCUUCUGGUUGUAAACCGCUUUCGCCUGUGACGAAGCGUGAGUGACGGUAAUGGGUAAAGAAGCACCGGCUAACUACGUG
RNAcentral lists this ribosomal RNA (468 nucleotides) under uncultured bacterium. RNAcentral describes it as "partial 16S ribosomal RNA". It matches the Rfam family "Bacterial small subunit ribosomal RNA", at positions 28 to 507 of the family's 1533-position model. The record is from RNAcentral.